Long non-coding RNA from Cyanistes caeruleus (blue tit), 1507 nucleotides. NCBI's taxonomy places the organism in Eukaryota, Metazoa, Chordata, Aves, Passeriformes, Paridae. The record is from Ensembl.
CUCUAAGUGGCCCCAGGGGUUCAGGGAAAGCAGAAAGAUUUGUUGCCCCAGAAUUUAAUUAGAUGCUGCUAUUCACUGUAAGGUGGGGUCUGCUUUAAAUAUGACAGGCAGCUCUUUCAAAACAGCUGGAGGUGGAGAGGAAGGUGGAGGAGUACAGGAUGAGUUUCUUUCUUCAACAAGAGAGAGGGAGUGGGGAGGUGCAUGACACUGAAUCAUAUCUGCACUCUUUUGUAUUGAAAAAUAGACUGAGGAGAGGCUCUGCUCCUGACACAGGCCCUCAGCCAGCGGGUGCCUGGGGAUGUUCAGAGACCAUGAAACCAUCCUGCAUGACUUGCUGCCAUUAGGAGCCUCUCAUGAAGCACUUCUUGCUAGAUUCAGUACUGACAUUGAGAGAAGAUUCAAACCCCAGAAGCUGUCACAGAGUUGUGUUUGGAACUGAUGUGUCCUGAAUGUUCAGUGUAAUUCCCUCUGGUUAAGGUUUUGCCUACGUCACCUUUCAAAAUAUUUAACUUAAAUCUUGACUUGUCAUUGGAUAACUUAUCUGCAGAAUCUUGGUAUCAGGGCUGUUGCAACCAAAACAGACUGAGGAAGUAAUAUAACCAGGUCUGUGAGAAGAAAAAAAACCCUUUAAUAGAUCAACUGUUACACUUUCCAUGGAAAACAUUCAGACUCAAGCUUUUCUUACAGUAAGAACCAGAAAUAACUAAGAAACUUUUGGGAUCUUGCAAUCUCAUUUUGUAAAAAUAUGAAAUUCCUGGAUUCUGGCCACAGAGAUUUGACAAUUUUCAAAGACAUCACUUCCACAGAGUUUCUAUAACAGCUGUAGUGAGGCUUUAUUUAGCCAAAUGCCUGUAAUACAUGUUUAUCUCCCUUGCAGUACUGAGCCAGAUGUCAAGUGGAAGGCUUGGAGUGAUUUUUUUUUAGUUUUUAGAUUGACUGAAACUUUUUUUUGUCUUUCCAGUGUGGUGGUGCAGAAAUCAUUGAGCUGCACUUUGACAUUAAUGGGAAGAUCUCAGAUGGAGCUAAGGGCUGAAAUAGAGGUUGCUAAACAUCAGCAGAGAACCAGGGCUGCUCCUGCUGCCACCCACCUAUCCAGCAUCAUAGAGGAUGGAAGGGCAACAUGAGGGCUGCCUUUGUCAGUUCCUUGGCUGCAGGUUAAGAAAGUUGAAUUAAAAAUAUAGGCUAUAGCCACGUAGAAAAUAUGCAGAGAUCUACAUGAAACUACCCAGUAAUCUGGGCAGUUGCCUUUUUAAGAAUGGCAUUUUGCUUUACAUGCAUUUUAGACUGAAUUGAGUGACUCCUCCACUCGCUCCAAAAAAGGUACCCAGUAUCAAGUCUCAGUGAUUCUGUUUUCUCAACUUCAGAAAACUCACAGAUGUUUGAGAAGCAACAACCAAAAAAAUAGACUGAAAAAUCAGCUCUUCGAAGACCUUCAAGACAGAGGCCUUCAAAAUCACUAAUUCACUUUUCCUAAAUGUCUGCAAUAAAGAAGAGACUUUCAGAUUCA